This 347-nucleotide ribosomal RNA is filed under the name uncultured Helicobacter sp. Its description in RNAcentral is "bacterial SSU rRNA". It matches the Rfam family "Bacterial small subunit ribosomal RNA", at positions 278 to 643 of the family's 1533-position model. Lineage: Bacteria; Pseudomonadati; Campylobacterota; Epsilonproteobacteria; Campylobacterales; Helicobacteraceae. The record is from RNAcentral.
GACGGGUAUCCGGCCUGAGAGGGUGAACGGACACCUGGAACUGAGACACGGUCCAGACUCCUACGGGAGGCAGCAGUAGGGAAUAUUGCUCAAUGGGGGAAACCCUGAAGCAGCAACGCCGCGUGGAGGAUGAAGGUUUUCGGAUUGUAAACUCCUUUUGUUAGAGAAGAUAAUGACGGUAUCUAACGAAUAAGCACCGGCUAACUCCGUGCCAGCAGCCGCGGUAAUACGGAGGGUGCAAGCGUUACUCGGAAUCACUGGGCGUAAAGAGCGCGUAGGCGGAAUAGCAAGUCAGAUGUGAAAUCCUAUGGCUUAACCAUAGAACUGCAUUUGAAACUGUUAUUCUA